Molecule: ribosomal RNA, 253 nt
Filed under: uncultured bacterium
Lineage: Bacteria
Description: partial 16S ribosomal RNA
Rfam family: Bacterial small subunit ribosomal RNA
Source: RNAcentral
UACGAGUGCCUCGAGCGUUAUCCGGAAUCAUUGGGCGUAAAGGGUGCGUAGGCGGCGAUGUUAGUCUCCCGUAAAAUUCCUCGGCUCAACCGGGGGCGCGCGGGAGAAACGGCAUUGCUUGAGAGCGGAAGGGGCCUCUGGAACUCAUGGUGUAGCGGUGAAAUGCGUUGAUAUCAUGGGGAACACCAAAAGCGAAGGCAGGAGGCUGGUCCGUUUCUGACGCUGAAGCACGAAAGCGUGGGUCGCGAAUGGG